CCAACUGUAAGGAGACCUGGUCCCCUUCCUCAGGAGCUGAGGUUUCUGAUGCCAAAAACAGCAGGUCCUCAGCCAACAGAGACAACUGUAAUAGUUCCAGUGUCAGAGGCACUUGUGAUUACUCCCGAUACGUCUGCAGAGCCCAGUCAACCAGCGCUGCAGCCACCAAUUGGACAGAGAGCUCAAAGUCAGCCGGUAACCAGGCCAUCAAGGGUCCCCAGCAUUCCUCCUCCACAGCUUCCUGGCUAUGACCAUGAUAGAAGUGUUCUCACCAGCAGAGGAUCUGGAUGAAGACAGAGCUGGAAUCGAUGGGUCUCUGGCCCGGCUCCAUUCCUGUCCACAACCCCAUGAAGAUGGUGUCAUUGUGGCGUUUCCCUCCCCAGCCAGAAUUAAUUGACAGCAUCUCUGAUCCUCCAUCCCCAAAGUACUUUCAGCUCCAUCCCUUCUUUAUAUGGAAGCCAGAGAAUGACUUAAUGGCAAGGCUGAGGAACAACGAUACUCUGCCAUGCAUUGAAGGUUGCGCUCAGGCCCGAGUUGCCUCUGCAGGUGUUGGUAGACCUCGUGUGAUUGUUGGCAUCACUGGACAGUACUACCUUUUUUCAUCCAGGCUGUGCUGUAAAGUUUGCCGGAAAAGGUGGUAUGCUGACAAUCCACUGUGGCUGGAAAAACUAUCAAAGAGGUUCACAAAUCUGUUGCUGGCAAUACUGACCUACAAGAAGGCCAUCUGUAAAUCCGUAAUGGACGAGCUCAGGCGCACAGGUAACGACAUGGCAAAGCAGAUCAUGGAGAUGAUGCACCUGAAAUAUGAGCGUGCUCACCUGGCCUUCCUCCUUACCUGCCAGAACAUUGUGGACGGUGAGGCAGGAAAGUAUGACCUAAGAACCAUCACUCAGUUCAUAAGACAGGAAACCAAGCCAGCUCCCUUUGGAGAGUAUGGGGAUUCAGAUGGCUGGAACGGGAUCUCUGUGUCUGCACACUACCUAACUGACUGCCUACUGCAUGAGUACAAGCACCAGGAGGGUGCUAUCACAAAGCUUCUUCAGGGCAAAAGGUGCUAGGAAGGUCACCUUUUCAUCUGGGACCAUGUCAUCAUAUGCAGUCCUGAAUGAGAACUGGAUGAUCCUUUGAUGGGUGAUGGUGCAGUCUGAGACAGAGAAGUCACUGAAGCCCAUGUAUGAAGGUAUAGCCCACCGCUACAACACUGCAGCCAUAGAGAAGGCCCACUACCAGUGGGUAGACAGGGAUUGCUGCGCAGCAUUUAAGGUUGCAGAAUAUUACACAGGAGAACAUAUGAACUGGGAUGCUUGGACAACUACUAAUAGCAUUGUUGCUGAUGCCACUACUGGUGACCUGCUGAACACCUGUGCAUCAAGAUCCCACUACAAUGAAAACAUAAUUCUCAAGCUGGACUUGUUCCACUGUUUGAGACGGUUCCUCCGUGAGUGUGUGUCAGAGCAUCAUCCCCUGUACAGUUCCUUUCCUCAGUUCCUGUCGGCAGCCUUUUCAGCGGUGGAUCAGGAAGACCUGCAGAGGCUUAAAGAGGCAUAUGCCUUCUGUGGCAUUCAGCCUGCCAACCCAACAAAGGCACACAUUCGUGAGCACUGCAGGACCAGAAUUCCACAGCCUGAGGAGCUCGUCAAGAGAGUCGAGGGAGUUUUCCAGCACUUUUACCUCGCAACUGAUCCAAACGGCGUUCCUCUCUUCAAGCCCUCUAUGCUGAAGACAUGGCGCAUUCAGCGCAUACACAUCUUGCGCGGGUGCCUGAUCCUGAGGUUGAAGGUGGGAUCUUGUACAGGCACGGAGGAACACUGCAGCUAAACCACGUGCAGGGGGAAGGUGCUAAAGUUCCUGUGUGGAUCCCCAUCAGAGGCACUUCACAGCAAGAGGGAUACCAUUUCCAUCAGGCUCAGUGGGUCACUGGAACACGCGUCUCCACAGAGAGCCGUUCCAAGCCCAGGGGAUGACAGGGGUGGCACGGUGGAAUUAUCAGCGCCUGGUGGACUUGAAACAGCCAGAUGUUCACCUCCCAACUGUCUUUGAUCCAGCUUGAAUGGCAUAACUAAAUGCAGUCUCUGAAAGAGUGCUGGGGAGUGUGAAGUAUGCUGCUUUUCAUUUCACUGGCAGAACUGGAGAGAAGUUUGGCUUGGAAUAUGUUGAGCCUGGUUGCCGCCCAGUUCCUCUAGACUGGGAUAAGCACAGGAGCAAGACAGACUUAACACCUGCCCUGAAUCCCCCUCCUCAAAGCAGCCCACCCACUGCCCAGGCUGAGCUUCCUCAGUCAUCUUCCAGCUCACCAGCCAAGCUGUUUGAGUUCGCUGCAUGCCCUCCUGCUGUUAAACCAGAUGGGACUCCAAGUUCAACUCCUGAGCCUCAGACAGAGCCAGGUAAACAUUUGACACUUGACAAAGUGGUGGUUCCCUGGAGUAGCAGGGAAGUACAUUUACUGCCCUGCUAAAGUCUUUUCUAUUUACAAAGACCAGGGCAUGGAGAAGGAGAUGACCUGGAAAGAGUUCCAGGAGUCUGCCUUUUAUAAGUCAGAAAAACUGAGGUGGGAGGUCGAAAAGGGAAAAUGACGGACAUUGAUGGAGGGGGGCGGGGGAUGUUUAGUGUGUAUAUACUGUAUAUUUUGCCCAUUUCAUAUUUAUUUUAUAUAUUUUGUUUUGUAUAUGUGUGACCUUGCACUA
Molecule: long non-coding RNA, 2684 nt
Organism: Perca flavescens (yellow perch)
Lineage: Eukaryota; Metazoa; Chordata; Actinopteri; Perciformes; Percidae
Exons: 4
Source: RefSeq, a predicted model, not a curated record